UCCCUGGUGGCUCAGACGGUAAAGCAUCUGCCUGCAAUGCAGGAGACCCGGGUUCGAUUCCUGGGUCGGGAA
Molecule: non-coding RNA, 72 nt
Organism: Bos taurus (domestic cattle)
Lineage: Eukaryota; Metazoa; Chordata; Mammalia; Artiodactyla; Bovidae
Source: Rfam